This 650-nucleotide ribosomal RNA is filed under the name uncultured fungus. Its description in RNAcentral is "eukaryotic LSU rRNA". The stretch from base 278 to 431 matches the Rfam family "5.8S ribosomal RNA". Lineage: Eukaryota; Fungi. The record is from RNAcentral.
AAGUCGUAACAAGGUUUCCGUAGGUGAACCUGCGGAAGGAUCAUUAACAAUGUGAGAUGGCCGCGGUGGGGCAUUGCCCUGCCGCUGCGCACUCCCAUUACACCCCUGGCCUACCCCCCCAAGGGGUGGGUUUCAUGUGUCCACCCUCUGUGAAACUCUUCCAUAUGCUUCGGCAGCACCUCUCCCGGGGGGGUAAGGCUGCCAGAAGCUCAUAUCAAGAAUCAGUUGAUGAAAAUAUAAUGUCCGACUACUAUUUUGAGAAAUCAAAUCAUAUUAAAACUUUCAGCAACGGAUCUCUUGGUUCUCGCAUCGAUGAAGAACGCAGCGAAACGCGAUAGGUAAUGUGAAUUGCAGAAUUCCGUGAAUCAUCGAAUCUUUGAACGCACAUUGCGCCUUCUGGUAUUCCGGUAGGCAUGCCUGUUUGAGCGUCAGCAAAACCCUCAGCAAUACUCUUGCUGGUUAUGGGCCGGGAGGAAUGGGCUCAGCCCGCUCCCGCCUUAAACUUGCUGCACGACCGCAAGCUUUAGCGAGGUUAAUGGAGUGGUAAAUACAUAUUCCUGCACUGACCAAAAGCUUUGUGGCGUUAAAACGAUGUUGCUUUCGCAACUGAAGUUUGACCUCAAAUCAGAUAAGGAUACCCGCUGAACUUA